Long non-coding RNA from Calidris pugnax (ruff), 2113 nucleotides. RefSeq lists it as uncharacterized. The record is from RefSeq and is a predicted model, not a curated record. NCBI's taxonomy places the organism in Eukaryota, Metazoa, Chordata, Aves, Charadriiformes, Scolopacidae. The transcript has 2 exons.
UUACAUAAGUUAAUUCAGCAUAUUCAAGUAGAUCUAAAAGAUUAGUUUUGCAAGGUGCCUUUGCCAUAACUCAAAGUCAUGUUGGACUGUACUGGCACAGGUAUCUCAGCUUGUUCUGACCAUUCACAGAGGGGUAAGAAGUAGUUUAGGCAAGUGGGAUCAGAAGUUGCUGCUUUUGCAGCUGCUGUGUUCUUUGUGUGGAGAAGACUUCUGGAUUCUUGUGUUCCAUUUCUAAGCAACUCCCUCAUGGCUAGUCAUACAGGUAAUCUCUGGUCUGUACUAUAGAAGAAAUUAACUUGCAGUUAAAUUCAUCACAGUGUUGUGAGAUUUGCAAGAGGUUUGGCGUGUUUUCUUUCUCCCCAGUGUUACCUACCGAUUGCCACAAGGUCAGAAGUCAAAAGUGUACUCUUACUUUCAUUUCAUUGCAGAAGUUGCCUAGGAGAUUGCUGUUACAGGAAAACUGGGCGGAAGAAUAGACCCAUGUGUGCCUGUAAAGUGGCAUAACCUUGGAUAAUACCAUCAUUCUGCUACAAGACCAAUACUGCAAAAAAUUACACCAUCUGAAAUGGUGGAUCAUUCUAUGCUAGGACUGAAUCCUCUCUAUAGCAUUAUAUUGGUAUUGGAGUAACAAAACCUUAUUUGCUUUGUGGCUCAGGGGAGAUGGAGCCACAAAGAGUGUAUCACAAUGCAAUAAAUUUCUAGUCUUUAAAAAUUAAAAACAGUCUUUCAUGGGGUACAUAUCUCAGGAAAAUGAAAAUAUUUGGGCCACUAAGGUAUUGUAGUUAAUUGCUAAUCUGCUGCCUAAUAACUUGCAUUGUUAUUAUUGUUGUAGAUCAUAUUUUUAUGAUAUUUAUCCUUCUUCCAUUUUUAAUUUGAACUUCUUCAUUUUCUAUGGAUGAAGAACAGCUAAGAGUAAAGGACGAGAUGUAGUGUUGCUCUUCUGUUUUUGUGUGUUCUAGAACUUCAAAUUUUUUAUAUGGUACUCGAUUGCAAAUUGUACAUGAUUGUAAAAUUUAGUUUCUUAAUAUGUUUGACCCACCAAUGACUUUGCAUAGUUUACUGUUUAUCAUGGCUUUACCUUUUCCAAAAAGAAAGUGAACUAUUCCUCUUCCCUCUUUUGGAUCUUGUUACAGAGAGCAGGUAAUUAGCAUGUGCACUUGGAAACACUGUAGAAUACCAAGACAAAGUUGAAGCUCUAGGUUCUAAGGGUUACGUUAAAAAAAGAAAAAAAAAAACAGUUUUGCAUCUUUAUACCAUUUGUUAUACUGAAAAAAAAACCAAAACAACUAGACUGCUCUCUUAAAGAUUUAAAAAAAAAAAAAAAUUGGUUUUAUCUGCUAAUUGUAUUCAAAGUGUUAAAGAACUUUUGGUGUGUUUUUUAGCUGUCUAUUACCUGAGUCGUCAUACUUUUAGAAACAACUGCAUCUCCUAAAAACCUGACACUAUACCACUGCAUGAUUUCUGGGUGGCUGUGAUCUGUCACACACAACCUGCUCUGUCCAGACUGGUCCCUGAACUUCCCUGAGAGGAGAGCUUUCUGGAGUCUGCUUGUAGCACCAUUAUCGCUUGCUGUCCAGACCAUUUUUUUCCUAUGGAAAGCAGGAUGGUGAAGAGAGGAAGCAGUCUACAUAUACGUUGGGACAAGAUUUGAAAUAACAUGGCCUGAGCUCUUCGAGAUUCCAGGGUUUAGAAAUAUCCUAUGAGUUCCAAAAUGGACCUACUGAAGUAAGCAUACUUUUUAAUGUUAGUGUCAACAACAUAAGAGUUUAUCCCAAUACUUAUGUGUAUAUACAUAUAUUGCGAAUAUACUUUGUAUAGCAGUCUUCUUGUGACUUCUUGGUCUCUGAGAAAACUUCUGAAUUUUGAUGGCAUCAUGGGAAGUGUCAUAACAUUAGGAAUUUUCUUCUUUUAUACUUAUUUUUGUUGUUAAGGUUUUUCUAAGACUAUACUCUAAAUUCUGCAGGUAGCAUUCCUUGGAUAUCAUUCCUUGAAUAUUUUAUGCCUGCGUUGCUUUUAUCUCAAAUAUAUUUCAUAAAUAGAAGAAAAUCUGUGGAGUGUUCAUCAUAAUAUUAAGCUUUCUGUAUAUGCUAAUAAAUUAUUUUCUAGUUAUCUA